UGCCUAAUACAUGCAAGUAGAACGCUGAAGGAGGAGCUUGCUUCUCUGGAUGAGUUGCGAACGGGUGAGUAACGCGUAGGUAACCUGCCUGGUAGCGGGGGAUAACUAUUGGAAACGAUAGCUAAUACCGCAUAAUAUUGAUUAUUGCAUGAUAGUCAAUUAAAAGGUGCAAUUGCAUCACUACCAGAUGGACCUGCGUUGUAUUAGCUAGUUGGUGAGGUAACGGCUCACCAAGGCGACGAUACAUAGCCGACCUGAGAGGGUGAUCGGCCACACUGGGACUGAGACACGGCCCAGACUCCUACGGGAGGCAGCAGUAGGGAAUCUUCGGCAAUGGACGGAAGUCUGACCGAGCAACGCCGCGUGAGUGAAGAAGGUUUUCGGAUCGUAAAGCUCUGUUGUAAGAGAAGAACGAGUGUGAGAGUGGAAAGUUCACACUGUGACGGUAUCUUACCAGAAAGGGACGGCUAACUACGUGCCAGCAGCCGCGGUAAUACGUAGGUCCCGAGCGUUGUCCGGAUUUAUUGGGCGUAAAGCGAGCGCAGGCGGUUAGAUAAGUCUGAAGUUAAAGGCUGUGGCUUAACCAUAGUACGCUUUGGAAACUGUUUAACUUGAGUGCAAGAGGGGAGAGUGGAAUUCCAUGCGUAGCGGUGAAAUGCGUAGAUAUAUGGAGGAACACCGGUGGCGAAAGCGGCUCUCUGGCUUGUAACUGACGCUGAGGCUCGAAAGC
Molecule: ribosomal RNA, 730 nt
Filed under: uncultured Bacilli bacterium
Lineage: Bacteria; Bacillati; Bacillota; Bacilli
Description: bacterial SSU rRNA
Rfam family: Bacterial small subunit ribosomal RNA
Source: RNAcentral